Molecule: ribosomal RNA, 287 nt
Filed under: Blastenia crenularia
Lineage: Eukaryota; Fungi; Ascomycota; Lecanoromycetes; Teloschistales; Teloschistaceae
Description: partial 18S ribosomal RNA
Source: RNAcentral
UCUUGGUCAUUUAGAGGAAGUAAAAGUCGUAACAAGGUUUCACCUCAUUCUUCGGAAGCCUUGUGCGCUAACAGUCUGCCCUCGUGCAGGCUACAUUCCCCUGUAGCUGGAAAUUUCUCUCCCCCCGGGUUCAACCAGCUGCUGCCUGGCUUCGGCCGCGUAGCUCACAGAUCAAACGCGAAUGGCCCCCCCGGAACUUCGGCUGUGCGGGUUAAGAUAUGACCGUAGCGGCUCUGCGAAGAGUCUGAUGGACUAGUUCCGUAGGUGAACCUGCGGAAGGAUCAUUA